CCUACGGGAGGCAGCAGUCGAGAAUUUUUCACAAUGGUCGCAAGACUGAUGGAGCGACGCCGCGUGGAGGAUGAAGGUUUUCGGAUUGUAAACUCCUGUCACUGCAGAACAAGGGUAUCACGGUUAAUAACUGUGGUGUUUGAUGGUAUGCGGAGAGGAAGGGACGGCUAACUCUGUGCCAGCAGCCGCGGUAAU
This 195-nucleotide ribosomal RNA is filed under the name uncultured Verrucomicrobiales bacterium. Its description in RNAcentral is "partial 16S ribosomal RNA". It matches the Rfam family "Bacterial small subunit ribosomal RNA", at positions 338 to 524 of the family's 1533-position model. The record is from RNAcentral. Lineage: Bacteria; Pseudomonadati; Verrucomicrobiota; Verrucomicrobiia; Verrucomicrobiales.